RNAcentral lists this ribosomal RNA (430 nucleotides) under uncultured bacterium. RNAcentral's name for it is "bacterial SSU rRNA". It matches the Rfam family "Bacterial small subunit ribosomal RNA", at positions 29 to 507 of the family's 1533-position model. The record is from RNAcentral.
AGCGAACGCUGGCGGCAGGCCUAAUACAUGCAAGUCGAACGCCCCUUCGGGGGAGUGGCGGACGGGUGAGUAACGCGUGGGAACGUGCCCUUUGGUUCGGAACAACACAGGGAAACUUGUGCUAAUACCGGAUGUGCCCUUCGGGGAAAGAUUUAUCGCCAUUGGAGCGGCCCGCGUUGGAUUAGCUAGUUGGUGGGGUAAAGGCCCACCAAGGCUACGAUCCAUAGCUGGUCUGAGAGGAUGAUCAGCCACACUGGGACUGAGACACGGCCCAGACUCCUACGGGAGGCAGCAGUAGGGAAUCUUGCGCAAUGGGCGAAAGCCUGACGCAGCCAUGCCGCGUGAAUGAUGAAGGUCUUAGGAUUGUAAAAUUCUUUCACCGGGGAAGAUAAUGACGGUACCCGGAGAAGAAGCCCCGGCUAACUUCGUG